GGACAGGUGGUGUAGUGGCAACACACCUGUGGUACUGCGGGAACCCUGUGGUUCGAAUCCCGGUUUGUCCG
Molecule: transfer RNA, 71 nt
Filed under: Trametes pubescens
Lineage: Eukaryota; Fungi; Basidiomycota; Agaricomycetes; Polyporales; Polyporaceae
Description: tRNA-Tyr
Rfam family: tRNA
About the family: Transfer RNA (tRNA) molecules are approximately 80 nucleotides in length.
Source: RNAcentral